Long non-coding RNA from Vigna radiata var. radiata (mung bean), 731 nucleotides. RefSeq lists it as uncharacterized. The record is from RefSeq and is a predicted model, not a curated record. Lineage: Eukaryota; Viridiplantae; Streptophyta; Magnoliopsida; Fabales; Fabaceae. The transcript is spliced from 4 exons.
GAACGAAACCUAGAGAGAGAAACUCUUUCUCCCAACGACCAAAGCCCCUUCACGAUUCCACCGUCGUUCGCCGUUCAACGGCCACCAGAGGUCCACCGAGAGGCGGCGCCGCCGAUCAUCUUCGCGUCUCUUUCCACCGAUCACCUUCGCGUCUCUUCCCACCGGUCAUCUUCGCGUCUCUUCCAGCGUCAGUCGUCCCUCGUCCCGUUUGCACCGUUGACGACCCAGAGGCUCUGCCAGCGCCGAUCCCGAUAACGGUCCCCCCUCCGUGGUGUCUUCUUCCGCCGGCUUGGCUUGCUUUCCCAAAGAAAAAAAAGGACUUUCAAUUAAGCCAAAGCGGGGUGAUGCUUUACUUUUUUGGAGCAUGAAGCUAGAUGCAAAAUUAAAUCCAUCAAGCUUACAUGUAGGUUGUCCAGUAAUUAAGGGUAAUAAGUGGUCAAGUACCAAAUGAAUGUGUCAACGAAUACAAAGCUUGAGUAUACAUUGCUAUAGGUUUCUCAGAAUUCAUCACACCAAUUGUGUACAAUUUGAAUCUCAGCUAAAGCUUUGCGUGAUAAUGCUUCAGAUUUGGAAGGAAAUAUUCUAACAUAAUGUGGCAUUCUGUAGUUUUAAAAAUUGCGUGAUAUGAAUUUAUUUUGUACUAAAUUACAAAAUUGACUAAAUAAUUUAUUAGUAGUGUGUAUAUGAUUAGAAUUUUGAAUUACACUUUUUUAAUUAUAUAUUAUAUUAAA